CGGGGCGUAGCGCAGUUUGGUAGCGCACAUGGUUUGGGACCAUGGGGCCGGGGGUUCAAAUCCUCUCGCCCCGA
This 74-nucleotide transfer RNA is filed under the name Clostridiales bacterium KA00134. It matches the Rfam family "tRNA". Rfam says of the family: Transfer RNA (tRNA) molecules are approximately 80 nucleotides in length. Their secondary structure includes four short double-helical elements and three loops (D, anti-codon, and T loops). The record is from Rfam by way of RNAcentral. Lineage: Bacteria; Bacillati; Bacillota; Clostridia; Eubacteriales.